This 843-nucleotide ribosomal RNA is filed under the name uncultured Fusobacterium sp. Its description in RNAcentral is "bacterial SSU rRNA". It matches the Rfam family "Bacterial small subunit ribosomal RNA", at positions 83 to 943 of the family's 1533-position model. Lineage: Bacteria; Fusobacteriati; Fusobacteriota; Fusobacteriia; Fusobacteriales; Fusobacteriaceae. The record is from RNAcentral.
ACUUCGGUUUGGGUGGCGGACGGGUGAGUAACGCGUAAAGAACUUGCCUCACAGCUAGGGACAACAUUUGGAAACGAAUGCUAAUACCUGAUAUUAUGAUUUUAGGGCAUCCUAGGAUUAUGAAAGCUAUAUGCGCUGUGAGAGAGCUUUGCGUCCCAUUAGCUAGUUGGAGAGGUAACGGCUCACCAAGGCGAUGAUGGGUAGCCGGCCUGAGAGGGUGAUCGGCCACAAGGGGACUGAGACACGGCCCUUACUCCUACGGGAGGCAGCAGUGGGGAAUAUUGGACAAUGGACCAAGAGUCUGAUCCAGCAAUUCUGUGUGCACGAUGAAGUUUUUCGGAAUGUAAAGUGCUUUCAGUUGGGAAGAAAAAAAUGACGGUACCAACAGAAGAAGUGACGGCUAAAUACGUGCCAGCAGCCGCGGUAAUACGUAUGUCACAAGCGUUAUCCGGAUUUAUUGGGCGUAAAGCGCGUCUAGGUGGUUAUGUAAGUCUGAUGUGAAAAUGCAGGGCUCAACUCUGUAUUGCGUUGGAAACUGUGUAACUAGAGUACUGGAGAGGUAAGCGGAACUACAAGUGUAGAGGUGAAAUUCGUAGAUAUUUGUAGGAAUGCCGAUGGGGAAGCCAGCUUACUGGACAGAUACUGACGCUGAAGCGCGAAAGCGUGGGUAGCAAACAGGAUUAGAUACCCUGGUAGUCCACGCCGUAAACGAUGAUUACUAGGUGUUGGGGGUCGAACCUCAGCGCCCAAGCAAACGCGAUAAGUAAUCCGCCUGGGGAGUACGUACGCAAGUAUGAAACUCAAAGGAAUUGACGGGGACCCGCACAAGCGGUGGAGCAUGUG